UUUUCAAAAAAAGAAAAAACCAAAAGAGCAUUUUCGUUCUUUUGGUUUUCCAAAUUUUACAUUUGUAUUAGAUCUGGGGAGCAGAAAUUUUGAAUAAUGUCAUCAUCAGCUCGGCUGUCCGAUCUCAAAUCCAUAAUUAACGAACUGCUGGAGGUUAAGGGAUGUAGCGCCAGUCCGUUGUGUGAUGGAAACUUGUUCGUUUAGAGCGCCACUAUAUUUGGCCCCGAUGAGACUCACUGGGGAGAUCCCUUCAUCCUUUAUCUGUACUUCUUCAGAGUUGAUGCUUGAGAAUGAAAAUAGUGAAGGGAAAGAAUCUCAUCUGUUACUACAUAUUUAAAGAGAUGGCAUUUCUUGCUGUUUUUAUGCGGAGUGGAUCAUCUCGAAAUCCUGUGAUCCUAGUUCCUUUCUAACUCAUGGAACAUAUAUACUUAGUUCUGUAUGAUCUCUCAAUUAUCAGUUGGUGGUUAAAUUGAUGGCAUACUUUUAGGUUUGCUUGUCAAGUAGGGUUGAAAUUUCAGUAGGAUAUAUUAUCCGUUGUUUGACUUUCUCUGUUAUUAUCAUCAGGCAGGAAGAUUCUGUUUUUUCUUUUAUUUAUGUGAGAAAUUCAGAUCAAAGAUCAUUGCUGCCAAUAUUUAUAUGAUUUUAGAAGAGAUAAGUAUUAGUAGAAUUGAGGACAUGUGGUGGAAAUGAAGAUUAUUUUGGAGUAUUAUGAAAAGAUCAAAAAGGAUGGUGCUACAAACAGCUUUCCAUUAAUGUGAUGCCUGUCUAUCUUUUGGCCUUGCAACAGUGUAAGCAAAAGAUAACAUCCUACAACAGGAUUCCAAAAAAGAGACAAAUUGAUUAAUAGUAGAGGGAAAGAGCUUUUUUAUAUUUACUAAUUAGAGGUGGGAAAGAGCCAACCAUAAUCACGUCUACAAUCAGAAAAUGUGAUGUUUUGAGCUGAAGGACUAAAACAAGGGAAGAAAACAGGAAAUUAGACGUGUUAUUCACCGGCAAGUAACUUGAUGUACUUCUUGGUUUUGUGAUUCUGAAGACUUUUGUACAAUCAUGUUUACUAAGAAGAGUGAUGUUGUUCCUCACUAAUUAUCAUUGAUGUUAACCAAGUUAAUGAACUUAAAGGACUUUGCCCAAGUUGUUUAAUGUAUUCCCAUGUUGAACACUUUAAAAUAGCCUUCUAUCCCUAACAUUGGAGGCAUAUUUUCAGGA
Long non-coding RNA from Theobroma cacao (cacao), 1206 nucleotides. RefSeq lists it as uncharacterized. NCBI's taxonomy places the organism in Eukaryota, Viridiplantae, Streptophyta, Magnoliopsida, Malvales, Malvaceae. The record is from RefSeq and is a predicted model, not a curated record.